Lactuca sativa (garden lettuce) is the source of this 199-nucleotide non-coding RNA. Lineage: Eukaryota; Viridiplantae; Streptophyta; Magnoliopsida; Asterales; Asteraceae. The record is from RefSeq and is a predicted model, not a curated record.
AGGAAAUUGCUUUAUGAUGAUGGAAAAGGUGUUGCAGAGGCGCUUAAUGAAACAGUUUGCGUUGGUAACGAUUGUAGAGGAUUAACUGUUCAAGGUAAAUACUAUCUUAGGAUCGAUCCAAUUGGAGAGGGUGCCAAGUGGCGUCGAUCCUAUGGUCAAGAAAUAUACUCUCCACUUCUUUUGGCGUUCACUGAGCAGG